Molecule: ribosomal RNA, 467 nt
Filed under: uncultured bacterium
Lineage: Bacteria
Description: partial 16S ribosomal RNA
Rfam family: Bacterial small subunit ribosomal RNA
Source: RNAcentral
GACGAACGCUGGCGGCGUGCUUAACACAUGCAAGUCGAACGGAUAGGCCCUGCUUUUGUGGGGUGCUCGAGUGGCGAACGGGUGAGUAACACGUGAGUAACCUGCCCUUGACUUUGGGAUAACUUCAGGAAACUGGGGCUAAUACCGGAUAGGAGCUCCUGCUGCAUGGUGGGGGUUGGAAAGUUUCGGCGGUUGGGGAUGGACUCGCGGCUUAUCAGCUUGUUGGUGGGGUAGUGGCUUACCAAGGCUUUGACGGGUAGCCGGCCUGAGAGGGUGACCGGCCACAUUGGGACUGAGAUACGGCCCAGACUCCUACGGGAGGCAGCAGUGGGGAAUAUUGCACAAUGGGCGGAAGCCUGAUGCAGCAACGCCGCGUGCGGGAUGACGGCCUUCGGGUUGUAAACCGCUUUCGCCUGUGACGAAGCGUGAGUGACGGUAAUGGGUAAAGAAACACCGGCUAACUACGU